CGGACGGGUGAGUAAUGUCUGGGAAACUGCCCGAUGGAGGGGGGUAACUACUGGAAACGGUAGCUAAUACCGCAUAACGUCGCAAGACCAAAGAGGGGGACCUUAGGGCCUCUUGCCAUCGGAUGUGCCCAGAUGGGAUUAGCUAGUAGGUGGGGUAAUGGCUCACCUAGGCGACGAUCCCUAGCUGGUCUGAGAGGAUGACCAGCCACACUGGAACUGAAACACGGUCCAG
Molecule: ribosomal RNA, 232 nt
Filed under: uncultured bacterium
Lineage: Bacteria
Description: partial 16S ribosomal RNA
Rfam family: Bacterial small subunit ribosomal RNA
Source: RNAcentral